CAAUGGGUGACUAUCUGUGAAGCUCCUCUGCUGGGGGAGAGUGGGCAGCCUCUCCCUUGCCCACUGGGAGAAAAGGGAGUGACCCCGGGAAUGCACUUGGUAAAUAGGAGUUCAAUAACUGUUUGUUGAAGAAAGAAAAGAACUAUGGUGGGUCAGAUGAGAGACAAAAAUCACUCUGCAGAGAUACAGCAUGCAGGAGACCACCUCUGAGACUGAGGCAAGAGUGUGCCUGAAAUGCCAGGGGUUCGAUCUAGGUCCUGCUGUUCCCUGACACAGAAAGCCAAUGACUGACACAAUGAGUAUUGCCAAAGAAGAAGGCUUUCAUCGAGUGCUGCAGCCAAGGAAAUGGAAGAUCAGUUUCAAAUCCAUCUCCCUGAACAACUAAAAAUAGAGGUUUCUACAGCAGGGAAGAAAUGUGACUAUGCAUGGGAAAACAGGAAUUAGGGAGGGGUCAUGAGGCAAUCAUGAUGAAUGAGGGGUCUGACAUCCCAUUGGCUGGAUGUGGUUACAUGAUGAGUUUCUGUUCUUUGACACUUUUUGAAAGGCCUGAGGGCCCUUUCCUUACAAAGAAACUCAGAUAAAACCAAUGUGAGUUUCAAGCUUUAAGACCAGAAGAGUCCAUUUCUAUGUUACUAUAGGAAAAGAAAAAAACUGCCUAUGGGACUAUUGGGUUGGUUUCAAGAGGUUAUCUGAAAGGCAAGGCGGCCUCCAUAACUGCUUAUUUUCUUUUCUUUUGAAACUGUCAUUGUCUUCCCAACAUCUAGGCUUAUGAUCAUAUGGGUAAGCUUAGA
Molecule: long non-coding RNA, 791 nt
Filed under: Homo sapiens (human)
Lineage: Eukaryota; Metazoa; Chordata; Mammalia; Primates; Hominidae
Description: non-protein coding LINC01539:19
Source: RNAcentral